AAGAGACAGCAGUAGCCGCGGUAAUACAGAGGGUGCGAGCGUUAAUCGGAUUUACUGGGCGUAAAGCGUGCGUAGGCGGCUUCUUAAGUCGGAUGUGAAAUCCCUGAGCUUAACUUAGGAAUUGCAUUCGAUACUGGGAAGCUAGAGUAUGGGAGAGGAUGGUAGAAUUCCAGGUGUAGCGGUGAAAUGCGUAGAGAUCUGGAGGAAUACCGGUGGCGAAGGCGGCCCCCUGGACAAAGACUGACGCUCAGGUGCGAAAGCGUGGGGAGCAAACAGGAUUAGAUACCCCUGUAGUCCCUGUCUCUUAUAC
RNAcentral lists this ribosomal RNA (310 nucleotides) under uncultured bacterium. Its description in RNAcentral is "partial 16S ribosomal RNA". It matches the Rfam family "Bacterial small subunit ribosomal RNA", at positions 503 to 807 of the family's 1533-position model. The record is from RNAcentral.